CCAAGCAAAAUUUCCAGAGUGGUAGGAUGAGAGUUGCUGCCCCUAGCAGUCUUCUCACUUAUUAGCUGCGUAACAACAACAACAACAGCAAGAUGCCUGCCCACAAGCAUCUUUCCUCUGGUACAGAAGGUGGGGCCCUAAUGAACCACAGCUAGGAAAGACUAGCUGUCUGCUCAGGACCUCCAGGGAGAAAGAUGACAGACUAGACAUCUCUGGUUGACAGAAAUAAUUAUGUGCUGAUAUAUUUGGCAAAGCCAAAAACAUUGAGUAUCUUGUCCAAAAUGUAUAACUUACUGUUGAAGUGGCAUACAAAGGAUGAACAAGUUAAAUCUGUGAUGAUAGAUUGAGCAAGAGAUGUGGGACAUAACAUAAUGUUUGAAGAUUGGGAAAGGUUGUGGAGGAAAGGGGUCGAGUUCACUGCAUGUACGAUGUUAAAGGAAAAUGUUAUGAAAAUGAUGUAUAGAUGGUGCUUAACCCCUGUAAAACUAGCAAAGAUUUAUCAUAAGAGUGAUAAUUUAUGUUGGAAAUGUAAAGAAAGAGAAGGUAGUUUUUAUCAUACAUGGUGGGCCUAUCCCAAUGUGAAAGACUUCUGGGAGAAGAUUUACAAUGAAUUGAAAAAGAUGUUGAAAUAUCAUCAUCAAUCUCAUCAUCAUCACCAUCAUCAUGAAUCUUUAUUACGGUCCAGAGACCCAACAAAUCAUUACAAAGCAACACACAAUUCAUACAGCCUACCUCCAGGUUAAACAAGCAUUUUGUUCAGAAUAUAGGGAUCAUUGGUUCUUGCAACCACCGAUAAAAACUUUGCCACUGCUAAUGUUCUAGCAUUUGUCCGGUCUUUCAAUAGGAACCUGACAUAGUGAGCCUCUGAUUUUCCCGGGAAAGGUAAUAUCAGUUCAGCCCUGGCUUGCUCAUAUUUUGUACAGUGCAACAAAAUAUGUUUUAUGGAACCAAUGUCUCGAGCCCACGAGCAAAGUCUGACCUGGUAGGGAACUCCUCUCAACCUGCCAUCCAACACUGCAGAAGGAAAGACGUUUAGUCUGGCUUUGGUGAAAAGCCUUCAAUUUGGUUUGGUACUGUCAGAUUUUUAAUGUAAGAUGUUAACUUAAAGACAUGCCUAUAUUGUACUCCUACUGCCAGCGGACUACAGACUGCGUGUGUUUGAGAUCGCAAGUCACUGUGUGCAUUAUCCCAUAAUCUUUGCUUUAACGUCUUUAGGGUGAUUUCAUAACCCAGGUAAUACAGUUGGGGGGGGGGGUGACAGACCAAUAGAGGUGGCUUUUUUAGCCAUGGUUUUCUGCCAUUUGCUGACAAAUUCCUCAUUGGUCAGGUGUUGGUACAAACCCUUCCCUAAAUCAAACACUGAAAUCCUGAGCCAAUGUUUUAGAGCAGCCCACCACGCUUUAGUUGAAAUUGGGUAUUCACCAGCUUCUAACAGAAGUAUGGAGUUGGGGACACAGUUGGGUACCUGCAGCAGAGAUCGUAGAAAUUUUGCCUGAAAGCCAUCUAGCUUUGGCAAGUCCCCAUUAUGCAAGACAUUUGCAGUGUACAGGAGUUGGGAAAUGGGUUUUGCGUGGUGCUUCCAAUAUCCUGUAUCAUGGAAUGUGAGCCCUAGAUAACUGAAGUAUUUGAUCUGUUCAAGGUUAUGGGCCAUCCAGCACCCAUUUAGACCAGGAGAAGCUUCUUUUGAAAACUAGAAUUUUAGAUUUUUCAUAAGCUACCCUUCUGCCAGGCUUACCAACUUGCCGGCAGUCGCCCAUCAUCUCUACAUUCAUAUGCGCGUUCUUUGUGAUGUAGAGUGCCUGCCUGUUAUCCUGGAAUGCGGAUUCAGCAGAGAACCUUCGAACUAUCCUAAGCCUUCAUUUGUUCUCGUUUGUGAGUAUGUUUAGCUAGUGAUGUUAAACAAUGUUUUUAUUUUCUUGUUUGAACCCUGUAAGAGAUGUGCCAACUUUUAAGUUUGAAUAAUCUUGUUUUUAAAAUAAAUUUUGGGGAAAGGACUUUUCCUGUUCUGUCUUUUGUGCCUUCUGCUCAGGAAGUCUAAAUCUAAUGCCAGGAGAGGCGAGUCACCUGUGGGCUGGGACCACCCUAGGCCCCGGAGAAGAUAAUGGCCAGUCAGCUCAGUCCCAGGUUGCGGGAGCAACGACGUUGGAAACCUGUUUCUGCCAGCACCCAGACCUGCUUUUCCAGAGUUCACGACCACAACAGUGGUAAAUGAUGAAGAUGAAGAUGAAGAUGAUGGACUUUUCGGAGCUAGCCAACCUGACCGGAAGAGUCCGCGACCAGAAUGAGGAGGAGUAUCAGGAGGAAUGGAUGAAAUUUAAAGACUAUUAAUCUAAAUAUGCUAAGAUAACUUAAAUAGAAAUACUUGCAAAUACCAGAUU
This is a non-coding RNA of Podarcis lilfordi (Lilford's wall lizard), 2378 nucleotides long. NCBI's taxonomy places the organism in Eukaryota, Metazoa, Chordata, Lepidosauria, Squamata, Lacertidae. The record is from the annotation of a GenBank genome assembly.